UACAUGUGGGGCAAGCGUUGUUCGGAAUUACUGGGCGUAAAGGGCUCGUAGGUGGCCAACUAAGUCAGACGUGAAAUCCCUCGGCUUAACCGGGGAACUGCGUCUGAUACUGGAUGGCCUGAGUUUGGGAGAGGGAUGCGGAAUUCCAGGUGUAGCGGUGAAAUGCGUAGAUAUCUGGAGGAACACCGGUGGCGAAGGCGGCAUCCUGGACCAAUACUGACACUGAGGAGCGAAAGCCAGGGGAGCAAACGGG
This 253-nucleotide ribosomal RNA is filed under the name uncultured bacterium. RNAcentral describes it as "partial 16S ribosomal RNA". It matches the Rfam family "Bacterial small subunit ribosomal RNA", at positions 524 to 776 of the family's 1533-position model. The record is from RNAcentral.